This 498-nucleotide ribosomal RNA is filed under the name uncultured bacterium. Its description in RNAcentral is "partial 16S ribosomal RNA". It matches the Rfam family "Bacterial small subunit ribosomal RNA", at positions 28 to 507 of the family's 1533-position model. The record is from RNAcentral.
GACGAACGCUGGCGGCGUGCCUAAUACAUGCAAGUCGAACGAGAGCGACCGGUGCUUGCACUGGUCAAUUUAGUGGCGAACGGGUGAGUAACACGUGGGUAACCUGCCCAUCAGAGGGGGAUAACAUUCGGAAACGGAUGCUAAAACCGCAUAGGUCUUCGAACCGCAUGGUUUGAAGAGGAAAAGAGGCGCAAGCUUCUGCUGAUGGAUGGACCCGCGGUGCAUUAGCUAGUUGGUGAGGUAACGGCUCACCAAGGCCGUGAUGCAUAGCCGACCUGAGGGGGUGAUCGGCCACAUUGGGACUGAGACACGGCCCAAACUCCUACGGGAGGCAGCAGUAGGGAAUCUUCCGCAAUGGACGCAAGUCUGACGGAGCAACGCCGCGUGAGUGAAGAAGGUUUUCGGAUCGUAAAACUCUGUUGUUAGAGAAGAACAAGUGCUAGAGUAACUGUUAGCGCCUUGACGGUAUCUAACCAGAAAGCCACGGCUAACUACGUG